This 218-nucleotide long non-coding RNA is filed under the name Lathyrus oleraceus (garden pea). RNAcentral describes it as "Pisum sativum (pea) long non-coding RNA (PSAT_LNC017554)". The record is from RNAcentral. Lineage: Eukaryota; Viridiplantae; Streptophyta; Magnoliopsida; Fabales; Fabaceae.
CAUUUUACAUUAUCCAUUUCUACUUUCUUCAUCUUCUGGGUCGGGUCUUUCAUCAAUACACACCCUUUGGUAGUGACAGUCGCACAAGCAUUAUCAACAGCAGGGAAAGCUCCAUCCUGCAUCAGAGAUUUUGGAACCAUAGCCAUUGGAACCUUUAGCUGAUCCGCCUCAGUCAUCUCCAAUCCUUUCUUGGCCUUCUUCACCAUCUUGACUUUUAC